UUCUGACCGUAAACGAUGCCAACUAGCGAUCCGCCGGUGGCUUCUAGGCCCUGGUGGGGAGCUUCCCGGAAACGAAAGUCUUCCGGUUCCGGGGGAAGUAUGGUUGCAAAGCUGAAACUUAAAGGAAUUGACGGAAGGGCACCACCAGGAGUGGAGCCUGCGGCUUAAUUUGACUCAACACGGGAAAACUCACCCGGCCCGGACACCGUGAGGAUUGACAGAUUGAUAGCUUUUUCAUGAUUCGGUGGUUGGUGGUGCAUGGCCGUUCUUAGUUCGUGGAUCGAUUUGUCUGGUUUAUUCCGAUAACGAGCGAGACUCCAGCCUACUAACUAGUGCGGGCAUUGUCUCUGUGCUUGUCACUUCUUAGAGGGAUUGGCUGCGUCUAGCGGCACGAAACGGAGCAAUAACAGGUCUGUGAUGCCCUUAGAUGUCCGGGGCUGCACGCGCGCUACACUGGCAAAAGCAGCGUGCUUGUCCGCCUCCGAAAGGAGCCGGUAAACCCUUGAAAAUUUGCCGUGAUUGGGAUCGGAAAUUGCAAUUAUUUUCCGUGAACGAGGAAUUCCUAGUAAGUGCGAGUCAUCAGCUCGCGUUG
RNAcentral lists this ribosomal RNA (592 nucleotides) under Criconema sp. TSH-2009. RNAcentral describes it as "SSU rRNA". It matches the Rfam family "Eukaryotic small subunit ribosomal RNA", at positions 1024 to 1643 of the family's 1831-position model. The record is from RNAcentral. Lineage: Eukaryota; Metazoa; Nematoda; Chromadorea; Rhabditida; Criconematidae.